This 600-nucleotide ribosomal RNA is filed under the name Fusarium sp. OTU020 AN-2016. Its description in RNAcentral is "eukaryotic LSU rRNA". The stretch from base 217 to 370 matches the Rfam family "5.8S ribosomal RNA". Lineage: Eukaryota; Fungi; Ascomycota; Sordariomycetes; Hypocreales; Nectriaceae. The record is from RNAcentral.
CUUGGUCAUUUAGAGGAAGUAAAAGUCGUAACAAGGUCUCCGUUGGUGAACCAGCGGAGGGAUCAUUACCGAGUUUACAACUCCCAAACCCCUGUGAACAUACCACUUGUUGCCUCGGCGGAUCAGCCCGCUCCCGGUAAAACGGGACGGCCCGCCAGAGGACCCCUAAACUCUGUUUCUAUAUGUAACUUCUGAGUAAAACCAUAAAUAAAUCAAAACUUUCAACAACGGAUCUCUUGGUUCUGGCAUCGAUGAAGAACGCAGCAAAAUGCGAUAAGUAAUGUGAAUUGCAGAAUUCAGUGAAUCAUCGAAUCUUUGAACGCACAUUGCGCCCGCCAGUAUUCUGGCGGGCAUGCCUGUUCGAGCGUCAUUUCAACCCUCAAGCCCUCGGGUUUGGUGUUGGGGAUCGGCGAGCCCUUGCGGCAAGCCGGCCCCGAAAUCUAGUGGCGGUCUCGCUGCAGCCUCCAUUGCGUAGUAGUAAAACCCUCGCAACUGGAACGCGGCGCGGCCAAGCCGUUAAACCCCCAACUUCUGAAUGUUGACCUCGGAUCAGGUAGGAAUACCCGCUGAACUUAAGCAUAUCAUAGGCGGAGGAAGGAA